GAUGAACGCUGGCGGCGUGCUUAACACAUGCAAGUCGAACGAUGAAGCCCAGCUUGCUGGGUGGAUUAGUGGCGAACGGGUGAGUAACACGUGAGUAACCUGCCCUUAACUCUGGGAUAAGCCUGGGAAACUGGGUCUAAUACCGGAUAGGAGCGUCCACCGCAUGGUGGGUGUUGGAGAGAUUUAUCGGUUUUGGAUGGACUCGCGGCCUAUCAGCUUGUUGGUGAGGUAAUGGCUCACCAAGGCGACGACGGGUAGCCGGCCUGAGAGGGGGACCGGCCACACUGGGACUGAGACACGGCCCAGACUGAUACGGGAGGCAGGAGUGGGGAAGAAUGCACAAUGGGCGCAAGCCUGAUGCAGCGACGCCGCGUGAGGGAUGACGGCCUUCGGGUGGUAAACCUCUUUCAGUAGGGAAGAAGCGAAAGUGACGGAACCGGAAGAAGAAGCACCGGCUAACUACGU
This 465-nucleotide ribosomal RNA is filed under the name uncultured bacterium. RNAcentral's name for it is "partial 16S ribosomal RNA". It matches the Rfam family "Bacterial small subunit ribosomal RNA", at positions 28 to 506 of the family's 1533-position model. The record is from RNAcentral.